This 253-nucleotide ribosomal RNA is filed under the name uncultured bacterium. RNAcentral describes it as "partial 16S ribosomal RNA". It matches the Rfam family "Bacterial small subunit ribosomal RNA", at positions 524 to 776 of the family's 1533-position model. The record is from RNAcentral.
UACGAAGGGUGCAAGCGUUACUCGGAAUUACUGGGCGUAAAGCGUGCGUAGGUGGUUUUUUAAGUCCGUUGUGAAAGCCCUGGGCUCAACCUGGGAAUGGCAGUGGAUACUGGAAAGCUAGAGUGCGGUAGAGGGUAGUGGAAUUCCCGGUGUAGCAGUGAAAUGCGUAGAGAUCGGGAGGAACACCAGUGGCGAAGGCGGCUGCCUGGACCAGCACUGACACUGAGGCACGAAAGCGUGGGGAGCAAACAGG